ACUACAGGCCAUUACCAUCCUGAAUGAACCCUAUCUCAUCUGGUAUUGGAAGCUAAGCAGGGCACAGUUUGGGGUUAGUAAGUGGAUGGGAAAACCUAAGUCUGAUUUAUUGUCUAGUA
RNAcentral lists this ribosomal RNA (119 nucleotides) under Castor canadensis (American beaver). The record is from RNAcentral. Lineage: Eukaryota; Metazoa; Chordata; Mammalia; Rodentia; Castoridae.